This 405-nucleotide ribosomal RNA is filed under the name uncultured bacterium. RNAcentral describes it as "bacterial SSU rRNA". It matches the Rfam family "Bacterial small subunit ribosomal RNA", at positions 354 to 776 of the family's 1533-position model. The record is from RNAcentral.
GUGGGGAAUCUUAGACAAUGGGGGCAACCCUGAUCUAGCCAUGCCGCGUGAGUGAUGAAGGCCUUAGGGUUGUAAAGCUCUUUCAGCUGGGAAGAUAAUGACGGUACCAGCAGAAGAAGCCCCGGCUAACUCCGUGCCAGCAGCCGCGGUAAUACGGAGGGGGCUAGCGUUGUUCGGAAUUACUGGGCGUAAAGCGCACGUAGGCGGACUGGAAAGUCAGAGGUGAAAUCCCAGGGCUCAACCUUGGAACUGCCUUUGAAACUAUCAGUCUGGAGUUCGAGAGAGGUGAGUGGAAUUCCGAGUGUAGAGGUGAAAUUCGUAGAUACUCGGAGGAACACCAGUGGCGAAGGCGGCUCACUGGCUCGAUACUGACGCUGAGGUGCGAAAGCGUGGGGAGCAAACAGG